UUCAUGUUAAUUUAGGUGUCAUGCAUAUAAAUAUAGCUAUAUAAACAUAUGUUUAAUUUUUCAGUUUGUGUGAAGUCCUCCAUAAAUACAAGAAACAGUUGAUUCUGAAAUUCUUUAGUCAUGUACUUUUAAGGAUAUUUUCCCAAUAUUAUAUUAUCCCCAAAAGGGCCUAUAUAUUUAUGUCAUAUUCUUUCAGUCAAUUUUUGAAUACCGAUUAUGUAACAUUUAUGUUACUUUGAUAAUAUAAGACCAAUGUUGUUGUUACAGACCCAGGGACUGUCUAGGUGCAUUACAUGUCAUAAAAGUGCCGGGACAUAAUGUGGUGGCAAUACAUUCUCUAAUUACCGGUAACACCUGUCACAAAGGGACGGGCCAUUUGGGUUUGUCCUCAGGGAAUGUGUUAUGCAAUUUGUGUAUUCAUGAAAUAACAAUCAACAAACUAUGUACUUAGUCCUGUGAUGUAGGAUUGAUGCAUUCGUACUUCGUAUAAAUAAAUGAAUUACAUUUUUUUCUUAAUCGUGUGCGAAAUACACAUAAUGUCGGAAAGCUGUUAAAUCCCCAAAUACUGACUUCGUUCCUAAAUAAAUCACAACCCUCACUUAUAAUUGUAUCACUGUGUAGAUUAUUUUAUAUUUUAAUGAUGAAAAUCACGUUCCUGUCACUGUUAAUGUAGAAUACGUCAGUCACUCAACCAGUUCCACUAUUAUUUUCCAAAAAGAUCAAAGAUGAAAAACAGUUAUCAAGAUUUAUUUUCCAUAUCUUUAGAAGAUACUUAAUCUUUACAUUGAAACUGCCAUCUUGAUAUAUUAUUUUGUAUUGAAUGACAUUAGAUAUAUGCUCCUAUACCGCCGCUGGUGUCUUAAUUUGCGAGAAUUAAACAUUGGUUUGCACCCAACCAUGCGCGUGCCAAAUUAUACAGCGUCAAGCUUUCAGAGCGCCAACUUAGUUUUCCAUAGUAGAAAUUAAGCAAAAUUAAUAUUUAUCAAGUUUCUUUUGGCUAGAACAUAUGCAUGCUGUUGUGGUUUUUAAAAAAAAUCUUCGUUCUCUCUGUUGUUAUAUAUUAUUAUAUAAUAUUAAAACAACAAGUACUAUAAAAUAUAAGACGGAAAUAUAUUACAUAUUAUUUACGCAUCCGGCUGCUCACAAUACAAUGCUAGUUACCAAUAUUUUUGUCCCAGGGAGUGAAUACCAAUUAGACAAAGCCAGCUCUACAGGCACUGCCUCUCUCAAAGACAGCAAGAAGAGUCGUAACCGAGUCCUCGGUAUACGCCAUCGCGACCUUCCCGUCCAGAAGAAACGGAGGUACAAGGACGCAUGAAAGAUAGCUCAGUUGAUGUCCUCUGAGGAAAGUAUUUAUGACGAAGACGGCAUAAAGAUUUUACAGUACGGCCAAAGAACUGUGAGUCAACGGAACUGCAGAUGGCGAAGAGCCUUGCAGAUGAGACAUACAUGAAGAAGCUGGACAGUACAGCAGCCUUCCCUAAGGCAAGAUGUGUCCGUUGACCACCAUCCAAAAACCCAUUCCCUGACAUGAAGAAGGAUCUGUCAUUGGUCAAUACCGAGUAGGGAAUGCUGUAGUGGUGUGGUGUGGUGUGGUGUGGUGUGGUGUGGUGUGGUGUGGUGUGUAAAGUAAUACAUGUGUCAAUUUCUUGUUCUAAAAAAUACAGGUAUAAGUAUUCA
Haliotis rufescens (red abalone) is the source of this 1680-nucleotide long non-coding RNA. RefSeq lists it as uncharacterized. The record is from RefSeq and is a predicted model, not a curated record. The transcript has 2 exons. Lineage: Eukaryota; Metazoa; Mollusca; Gastropoda; Lepetellida; Haliotidae.